Molecule: transfer RNA, 73 nt
Filed under: Cimex lectularius (bed bug)
Lineage: Eukaryota; Metazoa; Arthropoda; Insecta; Hemiptera; Cimicidae
Description: tRNA-Lys
Rfam family: tRNA
About the family: Transfer RNA (tRNA) molecules are approximately 80 nucleotides in length. Their secondary structure includes four short double-helical elements and three loops (D, anti-codon, and T loops). Further hydrogen bonds mediate the characteristic L-shaped molecular structure. tRNAs have two regions of fundamental functional importance: the anti-codon, which is responsible for specific mRNA codon recognition, and the 3' end, to which the tRNAs corresponding amino acid is attached (by aminoacyl-tRNA synthetases). tRNAs cope with the degeneracy of the genetic code in two manners: having more than one tRNA (with a specific anti-codon) for a particular amino acid; and 'wobble' base-pairing, i.e. permitting non-standard base-pairing at the 3rd anti-codon position.
Source: Rfam by way of RNAcentral
GACUUGAUAGCUCAAGUGGUAGAGCAGCGGCGUUUUAAGCCGAAGAUCGUGGGUUCGAAUCCCGCUCAAGACA